AUUGAACGCUGGCGGCAUGCCUUACACAUGCAAGUCGAACGGCAGCACGGGAGCAAUCCUGGUGGCGAGUGGCGAACGGGUGAGUAAUGUAUCGGAACGUGCCCAGUCGUGGGGGAUAACGCAGCGAAAGCUGUGCUAAUACCGCAUACGAUCUAUGGAUGAAAGCGGGGGAGUCGCAAGACCUCGCGCGAUUGGAGCGGCCGAUAUCAGAUUAGCUAGUUGGUGGGGUAAAGGCUCACCAAGGCGACGAUCUGUAGCUGGUCUGAGAGGACGACCAGCCACACUGGAACUGAGACACGGUCCAGACUCCUACGGGAGGCAGCAGUGGGGAAUUUUUGGACAAAUGGGCGCAAGCCUGAUCCAGCAAUGCCGCGUGCAGGAUGAAGGCCU
RNAcentral lists this ribosomal RNA (390 nucleotides) under uncultured bacterium. RNAcentral describes it as "bacterial SSU rRNA". It matches the Rfam family "Bacterial small subunit ribosomal RNA", at positions 30 to 417 of the family's 1533-position model. The record is from RNAcentral.